This 71-nucleotide transfer RNA is filed under the name Loxodonta africana (African savanna elephant). It matches the Rfam family "tRNA". From Rfam's summary of the family: Transfer RNA (tRNA) molecules are approximately 80 nucleotides in length. Their secondary structure includes four short double-helical elements and three loops (D, anti-codon, and T loops). Lineage: Eukaryota; Metazoa; Chordata; Mammalia; Proboscidea; Elephantidae. The record is from Rfam by way of RNAcentral.
GCAUUGGUAGUUCAAUGGCAGAGUUCUUGCCUUGCUUGCAGGGGACCUGGGUUUGAUUUCCCACCAAUGCA